Molecule: ribosomal RNA, 921 nt
Filed under: Priestia megaterium
Lineage: Bacteria; Bacillati; Bacillota; Bacilli; Caryophanales; Bacillaceae
Description: bacterial SSU rRNA
Rfam family: Bacterial small subunit ribosomal RNA
Source: RNAcentral
UGCAGUCGAGCGAACUGAUUAAAAGCUUGCUUCUAUGACGUUAGCGGCGGACGGGUGAGUAACACGUGGGCAACCUGCCUGUAAGACUGGGAUAACUUCGGGAAACCGAAGCUAAUACCGGAUAGGAUCUUCUCCUUCAUGGGAGAUGAUUGAAAGAUGGUUUCGGCUAUCACUUACAGAUGGGCCCGCGGUGCAUUAGCUAGUUGGUGAGGUAACGGCUCACCAAGGCAACGAUGCAUAGCCGACCUGAGAGGGUGAUCGGCCACACUGGGACUGAGACACGGCCCAGACUCCUACGGGAGGCAGCAGUAGGGAAUCUUCCGCAAUGGACGAAAGUCUGACGGAGCAACGCCGCGUGAGUGAUGAAGGCUUUCGGGUCGUAAAACUCUGUUGUUAGGGAAGAACAAGUACCAGAGUAACUGCUUGUACCUUGACGGUACCUAACCAGAAAGCCACGGCUAACUACGUGCCAGCAGCCGCGGUAAUACGUAGGUGGCAAGCGUUAUCCGGAAUUAUUGGGCGUAAAGCGCGCGCAGGCGGUUUCUUAAGUCUGAUGUGAAAGCCCACGGCUCAACCGUGGAGGGUCAUUGGAAACUGGGGAACUUGAGUGCAGAAGAGAAAAGCGGAAUUCCACGUGUAGCGGUGAAAUGCGUAGAGAUGUGGAGGAACACCAGUGGCGAAGGCGGCUUUUUGGUCUGUAACUGACGCUGAGGCGCGAAAGCGUGGGGGAGCAAACAGGAUUAGAUACCCUGGUAGUCCACGCCGUAAACGAUGAGUGCUAAGUGUUAGAGGGUUUCCGCCCUUUUAGUGCUGCAGCUAACGCAUUAAGCACUCCGCCUGGGGAGUACGGUCGCAAGACUGAAACUCAAAGGAAUUGACGGGGGCCCGCACAAGCGGUGGAGCAUGUGGUUUAAUUCGAAG